UUCAUCUUUUGUGACUUCAUCUUCUGAAAAAAAAUUGCAGAACAGAAAUUCAAACUGCUUCAUGUAGGUAUCAGGUGUUUGCUGUGAUGUGUUCACCAGAAAGAGACAGGUUUGCAAAGGCAGUUACAGCCCAGGAGACUCUGUGUAGACUGUGACAUCUGAUUUUACUCAGGUGUCCAAAACAGGAGAUUUAUUUCCAAGAUACAAAUGGCCUGUGGCUACAUGAAGACAUCUGCAUAUCCAGUCUUUAUUCCCAGUGGGAGUUUCUCAACAGAUCUGAAGUGCCCUUUUCUUGUUCCCAGAACAAAAAGUGCUCAAGCACAUCCUCACUGCCAAGCUUUCUUUGGAAAAGAGCCGUAACUCUGUAUCUUCGUACUGAGAAAUUGAGGACAUAGAAGCAUUUCUAAACCUACCAACUGUUGAUAUCAGGGUAGGAGCCCCAACAUCCUCUCUCUGUGUCUUGGAUGCCCGAAAGCAUGGUGAAUGCAUAAUAUGACUAUUUUAAUGGUAAGUAAUCCAUCCAAAGCCCACUGGAUCUGCAGAAAUCUGAGUCUCCUCCUCUGGCUGCAAUGGUAGCAGAGUGCUGAGAAUCAGGCAGGAUUGUGCCCAUAGCUCAGUUCAAAAUGAUGUGCCAAAUUAACAGGCAUAAUCAAGAAUGACAUUGUGUAAGAGGUAAGAAAGACUAAUCAGAUGCUAACUUAGCUGAUGCUGGCAUUAUUGAAAGCCUGGGGACAUAGUCCAAGGAUAAAAGCAUAAUGUCUUAUCUAACCAAGGAGUCAUU
RNAcentral lists this long non-coding RNA (781 nucleotides) under Phasianus colchicus (ring-necked pheasant). RNAcentral's name for it is "lncRNA (ENSPCLG00000021611.1)". The record is from RNAcentral. Lineage: Eukaryota; Metazoa; Chordata; Aves; Galliformes; Phasianidae.